Molecule: ribosomal RNA, 490 nt
Filed under: uncultured bacterium
Lineage: Bacteria
Description: partial 16S ribosomal RNA
Rfam family: Bacterial small subunit ribosomal RNA
Source: RNAcentral
AUUGAACGCUGGCGGCAGGCCUAACACAUGCAAGUCGAACGGUAACAGGAAGAAGCUUGCUUCUUUGCUGACGAGUGGCGGACGGGUGAGUAAUGUCUGGGAAACUGCCUGAUGGAGGGGGAUAACUACUGGAAACGGUAGCUAAUACCGCAUAACGUCGCAAGACCAAAGAGGGGGACCUUCGGGCCUCUUGCCAUCGGAUGUGCCCAGAUGGGAUUAGCAAGUAGGUGGGGUAACGGCUCACCUAGGCGACGAUCCCUAGCUGGUCUGAGAGGAUGACCAGCCACACUGGAACUGAGACACGGUCCAGACUCCUACGGGAGGCAGCAGUGGGGAAUAUUGCACAAUGGGCGCAAGCCUGAUGCAGCCAUGCCGCGUGUAUGAAGAAGGCCUUCGGGUUGUAAAGUACUUUCAGCGGGGAGGAAGGGAGUAAAGUUAAUACCUUUGCUCAUUGACGUUACCCGCAGAAGAAGCACCGGCUAACUCCGUG